This 31-nucleotide small RNA is filed under the name Bombyx mori (domestic silkworm). RNAcentral's name for it is "ovarian small RNA-37308". Lineage: Eukaryota; Metazoa; Arthropoda; Insecta; Lepidoptera; Bombycidae. The record is from RNAcentral.
UUCCUCAUGUUUGAGGGUCAUGACCACCAUC